RNAcentral lists this transfer RNA (72 nucleotides) under Camelus bactrianus (Bactrian camel). It matches the Rfam family "tRNA". From Rfam's summary of the family: Transfer RNA (tRNA) molecules are approximately 80 nucleotides in length. Lineage: Eukaryota; Metazoa; Chordata; Mammalia; Artiodactyla; Camelidae. RNAcentral also lists the same sequence under 2 other names. The record is from Rfam by way of RNAcentral.
GGGGCUGUAGCUCAGUGGUAGACUGUAUACUUAACAUGCAGGAGGUCCUGGGUUCAAUCCCCAGUACCUCCA